UGGGGAAUUUUCCGCAUUGGGCGAAAGCCUGACGGAGCAAGACCGCGUGAGGGAGGAAGGCCUUUGGGUUGUAAACCUCUUUUCUCAGGGAAGAAGAAAGUGACGGUACCUGAGGAAUCAGCCUCGGCUAACUCCGUGCCAGCAGCCGCGGUAAUACGGAGGAGGCAAGCGUUAUCCGGAAUUAUUGGGCGUAAAGCGUCCGCAGGUGGUUUUUCAAGUCCGCUGUCAAAGACCGGACCUUAACUCCGGAGAGGCUGAAGAAACUGAGGAACUGGAGACCGGUAGGGGUAGAGGGAAUUCCCAGUGUAGCGGUGAAAUGCGUAGAGAUUGGGAAGAACAGCAGUGGCGAAAGCGCUCUACUGGGCCGGUACUGACACUCACAGGACGAAAGCUAGGGGAGCGAAAGGGAUUAGAUACCCCCGUAGUCC
Molecule: ribosomal RNA, 428 nt
Filed under: uncultured prokaryote
Description: bacterial SSU rRNA
Rfam family: Bacterial small subunit ribosomal RNA
Source: RNAcentral